UAAUUAAAAACAUAACUUCUUACUAUUUUAAAGUUCGAACACAACUCAAGUGAUCAUUCGAAUAAAUUUAUCUGAAAAUCAGUCUGAUCAAAUCAUUUAUAUUUCCAAUAUUUUUCGUUUUUUUUUUUUUUUUACAUUUGAAGAGUAAAAGCCGUUCGCAUAAGAUCCUCCUGCAUCUCGCAUAAUGUCUUCAGAUGGGUUAACACAACUUUUUCAAGCUUAACCAAAUUGAGACAAAUGGCACAUCGGCUCCCGUGCAGUGCAGCUGAUGAGUUGCAUUGAAAAAAAGGCAAGGCGCUCGUUUUUCCCCGAAUGUUCGGAUUUUUAUAAAAUUUAGAUUUGAAUUAGAAUUAGAAUUGUACAGCCACAUGUUUCAACGUGAUUCAUUACAAAUAUAUAACAAGAUGUUGAGGUAAACAAAAUUAAGCAAAAUAAUUUUAAACAAUAAAGUUAUUUUAAUUGCCAAAAAGAAAAUUAAAAUAAAAAUCAAUUGAAUUUUAUUCAACCGUACCUUUCCGUAGUUUGACUAAAAUAAGAAUGGGUGCUGCUGGGAAACUAACACCCAACCAACUUUCCUGGAAAGAGAAAAGCGGCAAAAUAUAAAAAUAAAAUGUUUACUAAUUAUUAAUAAUUAGGGAUAAUAGACUAAUAGACCUUUUGGGGAAAGAUCCUUUAUUAAUUAAUCAAACUCAUAGACCAUUCAAAAGUUCAAACUCGUAGACCUUUUGGGGAAAGAUCUUUUAUUAAUUAAUCAUGCAUUUUCGUUGCUGCCCACCAAUAUUUCGGAGAUUUGGGUACUUGAUAAUAAAUAUAUUUGCUUUUUAGCUCUAAGAAUAUCUAAUUCCCAAAUGAGAUUAUACCAGCCUGAAAAAAUAUAUAUGAUAAAAGCAUCUAUCACUAUCUUUAAUUGUGACUUAACAUAAGAGAGCAUACUUUUUGGGUGAAUGGACCAAGCAGGGACUUUAAUUUGCUACGUGUCUUGAGAAUUCUUUUUGCGGAAUUUGUAAGCAUAUAAGCAAUGGAAUGGAACAUCGUCGGUACUCAGUAGAAGCAACGAUGGCUAGAGAAAAUACUGUCCAAAAAGUAGAAUUAGUUGUCUUUCCCGUUUUUCUUUUUCUCAAUUAGACAUAUGCUGAGAGUUGGUUUCAUAGAGUCGAUUUAAAAUUCAAUCCAAAAAAUCUGCUCUAAUGAAAAAUAUAAAUACAGGUUCUCAAAUCAGGAUAAUUAUAAUUUUAUUGACUAUGUAUGAUUUUGUACCUCUUAUAAAAUUUUUAAUUUAAUGAUCAAAUGGGUUACACCAUCGUAAUGUGCUCUUAUGAUGUCAAAAAGCAAUUCUUAAUUAUUAAACAUUAGAGGAUACUCUUAAAACUGCACACACACACGAACAUAUUGAAUACACAGUUUUCAUCAACAAUCCAUAAGAUUGCAAUCUUCUAAAUUAGUUCUUAUAAUUGAAACCUGAUAAGCCCUUUGGAGGUAUGAACAUAAGAAAAUUGAUUGUAAUGCUAAUGCAGCCAAAGCUAGAGACAUCGACGCCAAAUCGGCACAUUCACAUGACAGUGGCAAUGGCCAUGGGGACGGGCCAAUUCGACAAGGGAAUAUUUUUGCUGUCUUAAUGUCUUUUAGUCAUUGAGUCAUUGUAACUUCCAUAAAGUUGCGUGCCAGUAAUAAUAAGACAAAUAAAUGUCCCCACCGCCUUAGCGCACAAAAAUGAAUAUGCUCGUAAAGUCUUAGGACACCUAACAAAACAAUGACGUGGAGCUCAUAUGAGGAUGAAAAUGGACAUCGUCCGCUGCGGUUUUAUUAUUACUAAAUUUGCACUUAUUAAAAAAUUAAA
RNAcentral lists this long non-coding RNA (1837 nucleotides) under Citrus x clementina. RNAcentral describes it as "Citrus clementina (C. clementina) long non-coding RNA (CCLE_LNC004004)". Lineage: Eukaryota; Viridiplantae; Streptophyta; Magnoliopsida; Sapindales; Rutaceae. The record is from RNAcentral.